Molecule: long non-coding RNA, 450 nt
Organism: Neodiprion virginianus
Lineage: Eukaryota; Metazoa; Arthropoda; Insecta; Hymenoptera; Diprionidae
Exons: 2
Source: RefSeq, a predicted model, not a curated record
UCGCAACUGACACCAAGUGUUUCGUCGUCAAUAUGACUCAUCAUCUGAAUAUCCUCACUUUGCUUUUCAACUUGGUUAUUUUUAUUUUCUAUAUAAAUGUGCGUCUUAACUAUUUGAAUCCUAGUAACUCCUUGACGAGUCGACGAUACAAACGUAUUCAAAGGAUUCAAAAUACCGUUUAUCUCCAACGUACGAUUCCGCUCUGUAUUGACUUUUGGCGUCAAUUGAAUAUCAAAUGGGUCAUUCAACGUCAGAUCAGCUGCCGGGUGUAAACGUCGACAUUUCUGAUUUCGCUGACUCCUUUACAAGAUUAUUAGAACAACCUUCACAGUAUGUCUCUGAUCAAUUUAAAUCGUGAGAUAAAAACUGUGUAUAAAUCGACGAAUAACAAUAAUAUGAAACCACUGUAAAUCCUUGGCCCAAAGAACAGGCAACAAAAUCUGACUUUUA